This 1793-nucleotide long non-coding RNA is filed under the name Danio rerio (zebrafish). RNAcentral describes it as "si:ch73-315i10.1 (ENSDARG00000102462.2)". The record is from RNAcentral. Lineage: Eukaryota; Metazoa; Chordata; Actinopteri; Cypriniformes; Danionidae.
CACCACUGGCAACGUUUUGUUGUUCUCUCGGUGGGUCAGAACAGAAGCGGCAGACAUUUUACUUACAUGUUCGAAUAUACAUCCUAUUCACCAACAGCCACACCUGUUCCUCCUAACAUUUCCUGAGGUGAGGUGCCGCGCCGAGUGUUUGUAAUCCUAGUAUUUCAGUAUAAAUUCAAUUUCAGGUUUUAACACAAAGGUGGUGACAAACAAGCAAAACUUACAGACGACAACUUUAACAAACCGGCGGGUCCUUGUGGACGAAAGAAAGCAGGAAGUAUCUCUCCGAAGUGUUGGAAAUGUGAUGAAAGUGUGGAUUUUGAAAGGAUGUGGAGUCAGGGCUCGGAGGUGUGUGAAGCGGCACGAGGCCUGCAGAAAAAGCCCUCACUCCUGGGGAAAAAGUGUGAAGUUAAAGCUGAAGAGCAUCAGCAUCUUUACCUUUUAAGUUUGCUCAAACAGGGACACGCAGAUGACCGGUCUAACGGGACCCCCUGAGUGCCUGCUCAAAGCCUGAGGUGUAACGAUGGCCUUGCCAAGCAUAUGCUGGCUGGAGGGGAGAGAGUCUGCGAUGAAAUAAACUUACUUUGGAGCAACGGACAUCAGCACUGCUCCUGAUUACUGAGCACGAAAAUCUGGCAAAGAGCUGAGCUGUCCCACGCUGAACUGAACUGAAGCCUUUUGCACUGGGCUGGGCUAGACUGUCUGAUACAACACAUUCAGAGACUGGGAGACAGAAGCACACAACAGAGGAGGCACGUUUAAAUGUCGCUGGCAGCACUGAAGCCGAGACCACUUCUAAACUGGUAGGAUGCUAAGAGUUUGCAAUUCCUGAGUUUUACCACUAGUGUGCAUUUGUGAGCAGCGAGAGAGAACAUUACGCACCGGCUAAUGGGAUGCUUUGCAACUUCUGCUUUAACUUUAUUUGACGUUGCAGUGUGGGUGGCUCAUCGUCUGGCUGUAGGUUAUUUGUCUUCCCGUCUUAACACAGUGGUGUAAUGAGAUGCAAGUGUGAUAAAUGUGAUGGAUGUCUCCGCUAGACUGUGAUCUGUCGCCUGUGGCCACACUCUUACAUCACUCAGUCGGGAGUCCACGGCCACCGCCUGUGGAUCCAUAAUUCUCCUUCAUUUGCUCUGUGACAGAUUUCUGUUUGAACUUGAGUCCCCCUGUGGCGAGAUGCUAAUCGCUCAAAAGUACAUCCCACCCUCGGCUAGCAUCUUGAGCUGUUUCUUUUCAGCGUGCGGCUGCAUGCGGGCAUAGCCAUUGUUUUUUGAAAGAAUAACAAAACAAAACAGGUGUUUGUUCUCACUAGAAAUGCUAAAAUAAGUGUUCAGAUUAUGUUAAAUGAACUUUUUGGAUGUUAGAUUAAGUUUAGAUGGAGUUAGAUUGAAACUAUCCUCCAUUUUUGGUUGACAGUUCUGAUCGUAUUUGUGGCUGUUCUUUUCAAAGUUAGUGCCGGCCAUUUUUUGGUCUCUCUGUGUUGUCAAUUGCAGAAUCUUUGGUAAUUACAGACCUUGUAUGUGUAUUCUGAUAUUUAGCAGUUGUUUAUUCAUUCUGUGCAUGUUGCUGUGUUUGGGUAUUAACAUUUAUUAUGAUGCCCAAACUUGCUUUUCCUCAAUAUUUACUUGCUUUGUUAUAUUCAAAUAUUUAUCCGGUCUACUAAUCUGCAUUUUCUUUUGAGAUGUAAUUUUCUCACCUGCUGUGUUGUGACCGAAAAGCAAUGUUUGGUUUACAUAUCUGAACUUACCUUGAAUUUAAAAUACAGAUGAAAGGAUAAAUCGUGUGUUAUUAACUAU